Oncorhynchus nerka (sockeye salmon) is the source of this 2495-nucleotide long non-coding RNA. RefSeq lists it as uncharacterized. The record is from RefSeq and is a predicted model, not a curated record. The transcript has 2 exons. Lineage: Eukaryota; Metazoa; Chordata; Actinopteri; Salmoniformes; Salmonidae.
ACUGCUCAUAUAAAACUAGCUAAUGCUAAUAUUACUGACACACUGGUUACACAGUUCAAAUUGAACUAGCUAAUGCUAAUAUUACUUACAGGCUUGUUGCACUGCUCAUAUAAAACUAGCUAAUGCUAAUAUUACUUACAGGCCUGUUGCACUGCUCAUAUAAAACUAGCUAAUGCUAAUAUUACUUACAGGCUUGUUGCACUGCUCAUAUAAAACUAGCUAAUGCUAAUAUUACUUACAGGCUUGUUGCACUGCUCAUAUAAAACUAGCUAAUGCUAAUAUUACUUACAGGCUUGUUGCACUGCUCAUAUAAAACUAGCUAAUGCUAAUAUUACUGACACACUGGUUACACAGUUCAAAUUGAACUAGCUAAUGCUAAUAUUACUUACAGGCUUGUUGCACUGCUCAUAUAAAACUAGCUAAUAUUACUGACACACUGGUUACACGGUUCAUAUUAACCUAGCUAAUGCUAAUAUGACUGACUCACUAGUUACACUGUUCAUAUUAACCUAGCUAAUAUCACUGACACGCUCGUUGCACCAUACAUAUUUAUGUAGCUUUAGGUUACUAACACACAACUAUACCAUAUUGCACUUGCUUACACAAUCAAAUCAAAAAUAUUUAGAAAUACCUUUUUGCAUCAUCAGGUGUCACAAAGUACUUAUACAGAAACUCGGCCUAAAACCCCAAAAAGCCAAGCUAUGCAGAUGUAGAAACACAGACAGUACCUAGGCUACACAUCACAUAUUGACCUAGCAUUAGUGUUAGCAUGAACUAGCAUGAACUAACUGUCACGGGCAUCGUAAGAAGCGGACCAAAGAGCAGCAUGGUGAGCGUACAUAUUCCUUUUUAUUAGCAUGUCACCAAAAAACCAAGACACUAUGACCGGGAAGCUUAACAGUGCUAUGAUGCCUCUAACAAAGUUAACUACCCACACUGAAAGGAGGGGAAACGGGGCUACCUAAGUAUGAAACCCAAUCAGAGACAACGAUAGACAGCUGUCCCUGAUUGAGAACCAUACCCGGCCAAAACAUAGAAAUAAAGAAACAUAGAAAACAAAACAUAGAAUGCCCACCCCACAUCACACCCUGACCUAAGCAAAUAGAGGAAUAAAACGUCUCUCUAAGGUCAGGGCGUGACACUAACACACUGUUACAACAUCUAAUUCUAGAAGCCAGUGGACAUAUUGAACACAUAUCGAACAUGUGUUAGGCGAACAUUUGCCUGGGAUUCAAUACGAAUCUGGAAGUAAGCAUUUCAUUGGAAGAAGUAUACCAUGCAUAUCCCGCCCGACUAAUACAAAUUUGAACCGUGUUAGAUCAGCUUUAAAGCGAGCUUGACAUUUGAAGCUCAAGUCCUUAAUUGAUCCAUCCAGCCUCUGUUUUUUGUAUAAAAAAAAAAAGCUGAAGGAUGGGCCUGGAGAAAUGUAAUCACUCUCAAAUGAACAGACAGACCUAUGGAUGCAAGGACUGACCGUUCAUGAUAUCAACGUGAUCGUUUUCACCAUGUUUUGAGGCUAUAUAGUGUCUGUGUACAGUUCCAUUGUUUGCUUACAUUUUACAUGCGACUAGGCCGGAUGCUAGAUACUCUGAUGUGUGCAGUAACGUCCCUUGGAGAUCGUGAAAGAGUGUAGAGUGAUACCUUCGCUGAAGGUGAUGGGCAGGAGGUAUGGAUGUAUCACCUCCUGGCACGACAAAUGCUCCGUCCGCAACCACAGGGCUCUCCAGAGGGUGGUGCGGUCAGCCCAACGCAUCACUAGGGGAACACUGCCUGCCCUCCAGGACAUCUACAGCAACCGGUAUCACAGGAAGGCCAAGAAGAUCAUUAAGGACCUCAGCCACCCGAGCCAUGGUCUGUUCAUCCCGCUACCAUCCAGAAGGAGGAGACAGUUACAGUUACGGGCUUGUCCCAUCACUGCAACUCCCGUACGGACUCGGGAGAGGCGAAGUUCGAGAGCCAAGCUAACAGGGACGUAAACAAGUAUGUGCACAAAAUUUGAGCGAAAUAAGCUUUUUGUGCUCAUGGAACAUUGAAACAUCAGACCAACACUUUACAUGUUGCAUUUAUGUAUUUGUUCAUUGUAACUACUGCUUUUCUGUUCAUAUUCUGUCCAUAAUGUCUAUACACACCAUCCUACACAUAUAUUUAUAUUCCAGACUCUGACAUUGUGUCACACCCUUACCUUGGAGAUCCUUUUAUUGUCUCUAUUUUGGUUUGGUCAGGGUGUGAGUUGGGGUGGGCAUUCUAUGUUUUGUGUUCUAUGUUUUCUAUUUCUUUGUGUUUGGCCGGGUAUGGUUCUCAUACUUUGGUACCCUUUUUCCCCACCUGUGUUUGUGGGAAGUUGACUUUGUUUAGAGCACUUUGCUUUUGAGCUUCACGGUUGGUGUUUGUAGUGUUUAUUGUUUUGCUUUUGAGCUUCACGGUUGGUGUUUGUAGUGUUUAUUGUUUUGUUUGUUUGUCUGUCAUUUUGAUUAAAAUAAAGAAAAUGUACUUUU